Molecule: ribosomal RNA, 301 nt
Filed under: uncultured bacterium
Lineage: Bacteria
Description: partial 16S ribosomal RNA
Rfam family: Bacterial small subunit ribosomal RNA
Source: RNAcentral
CAGCCGCCACGGGAAUACGAAGGGGGCUAGCGUUGUUCGGAAUUACUGGGCGUAAAGCGCACGUAGGCGGAUUUUUAAGUCAGGGGUGAAAUCCCGAGGCUCAACCUCGGAACUGCCUUUGAUACUGGAGAUCUUGAGUUCGGAAGAGGUGAGUGGAACUCCUAGUAUAGAGGUGGAAUUCGUAGAUAUUAGGAAGAACACCAGUGGCGAAGGCGGCUCACUGGUCCGGUACUGACGCUGAGGUGCGAAAGCGUGGGGAGCAAACAGGAUUAGAUACCCCAGUAGUCCCUGUCUCUUAUAC